This 470-nucleotide ribosomal RNA is filed under the name uncultured Comamonadaceae bacterium. Its description in RNAcentral is "bacterial SSU rRNA". It matches the Rfam family "Bacterial small subunit ribosomal RNA", at positions 335 to 797 of the family's 1533-position model. Lineage: Bacteria; Pseudomonadati; Pseudomonadota; Betaproteobacteria; Burkholderiales; Comamonadaceae. The record is from RNAcentral.
GUUCCUACGGGGGGCAGCAGUGGGGAAUAUUGGACAAUGGGCGCAAGCCUGAUCCAGCCAUGCCGCGUGAGUGAAGAAGGCCUUCGGGUUGUAAACUGCUUUUGUACGGAACGAAACGGUCUGGGUUAAUACCCUGGGCUAAUGACGGUACCGUAAGAAUAAGCACCGGCUAACUACGUGCCAGCAGCCGCGGUAAUACGUAGGGUGCAAGCGUUAAUCGGAAUUACUGGGCGUAAAGCGUGCGCAGGCGGUUUUGUAAGACAGGCGUGAAAUCCCCGGGCUCAACCUGGGAAUUGCGCUUGUGACUGCAAGGCUGGAGUGCGGCAGAGGGGGAUGGAAUUCCGCGUGUAGCAGUGAAAUGCGUAGAUAUGCGGAGGAACACCGAUGGCGAAGGCAAUCCCCUGGGCCUGCACUGACGCUCAUGCACGAAAGCGUGGGGAGCAAACAGGAUUAGAUACCCCAGUAGUCUU